This 460-nucleotide ribosomal RNA is filed under the name uncultured bacterium. RNAcentral's name for it is "partial 16S ribosomal RNA". It matches the Rfam family "Bacterial small subunit ribosomal RNA", at positions 338 to 795 of the family's 1533-position model. The record is from RNAcentral.
CCUACGGGUGGCAGCAGUGAGGAAUAUUGGUCAAUGGACGAGAGUCUGAACCAGCAAAGUAGCGUGAAGGAUGACUGCCCUAUGGGUUGUAAACUUCUUUUAUAUGGGAAUAAAACGUUCCACGUGUGGGAUUUUGUAUGUACCAUAUGAUUAAGGAUCGGCUAACUCCGUGCCAGCAGCCGCGGUAAGACGGAGGAUCCGAGCGUUAUCCGGAUUUAUUGGGUUUAAAGGGAGCGUAGGUGGAUUGUUAAGUCAGUUGUGAAAGUUUGCGGCUCAACCGUAAAAUUGCAGUUGAAACUGGCAGUCUUGAGUACAGUAGAGGUGGGCGGAAUGCGUGGUGUAGCGGUGAAAUGCUUAGAUAUCACGAAGAACUCCGAUUGCGAAGGCAGUUCACUGGACUGCAACUGACACUGAGGCUCGAAAGUGUGGGUAUCAAACAGGAUUAGAUACCCUAGUAGUC